RNAcentral lists this ribosomal RNA (119 nucleotides) under Pteropus alecto (black flying fox). The record is from RNAcentral. Lineage: Eukaryota; Metazoa; Chordata; Mammalia; Chiroptera; Pteropodidae.
GUCUACGGCCAUGCCACCCUGAACAAGCCUGAUCCCAUCUGAUCUUGGAAGCUAAGCAGGGUCGGGCCUGGUUAGUACUUGGAUGGGAGACCACCUGGGAAGACCAGGUGCUAUAGGCA